GACGAACGCUGGCGGCGUGCCUAAUACAUGCAAGUCGAACGCACAGUUUAUACCGUAGCUUGCUACACCAUAGCCUGUGAGUUGCGAACGGGUGAGUAACGCGUAGGUUACCUGCCUGGUAGCAGGGGGUAACUAUUGGAAUCGUUAGCUAAUACCGCAUGAUAUUGAUUAUUCCAUGAUAAUUGAUUGAAUGAUGCUCUUGCAUCACUACCAGCUGGACCUGCGUUGUAUUAGCUAGUAGGUGAGGUAACGGCUCACAUAAGCGAAGAUACAUAUCCGACCUGUGAGGGGGAGCGGCCACACUGGGAAUGUGACACGGCCCAGACUCCUAUGGGAGGGAGCAGAAGGGAAUCUUCGGCGAUGGAGGAAAGACUGACCGGGAGACGCCGCGUGAGAGAAGAAGGUGUUCGGAUCGUAAAGCUCUGUUGUAAGAGAAGAACGGGAGUGAGAGUGGAAAGUUCACACUGUGACGGUAACUUACCAGAAAGGGACGGCUAACUACGUG
RNAcentral lists this ribosomal RNA (505 nucleotides) under uncultured bacterium. RNAcentral's name for it is "partial 16S ribosomal RNA". It matches the Rfam family "Bacterial small subunit ribosomal RNA", at positions 28 to 507 of the family's 1533-position model. The record is from RNAcentral.